UAGGGAAUCUUCGGCAAUGGACGGAAGACUGACCGAGCAACGCCGCGUGAGUGAAGAAGGUUUUCGGAUCGUAAAGCUCUGUUGUUAGAGAAGAACGUUGGUAGGAGUGGAAAAUCUACCAAGUGACGGUAACUAACCAGAAAGGGACGGCUAACUACGUGCCAGCAGCCGCGGUAAUACGUAGGUCCCGAGCGUUGUCCGGAUUUAUUGGGCGUAAAGCGAGCGCAGGCGGUUAUUUAAGUCUGAAGUUAAAGGCAGUGGCUUAACCAUUGUAAGCUUUGGAAACUGGAGGACUUGAGUGCAGAAGGGGAGAGUGGAAUUCCAUGUGUAACGGUGAAAUGCGUAGAUAUAUGGAGGAACACCGGUGGCGAAAGCGGCUCUCUGGUCUGUAACUGACGCUGAGGCUCGAAAGCGUGGGGAGCAAACAGG
RNAcentral lists this ribosomal RNA (429 nucleotides) under Bacillota bacterium. RNAcentral describes it as "Firmicutes bacterium partial 16S ribosomal RNA". It matches the Rfam family "Bacterial small subunit ribosomal RNA", at positions 355 to 776 of the family's 1533-position model. Lineage: Bacteria; Bacillati; Bacillota. The record is from RNAcentral.